Molecule: ribosomal RNA, 250 nt
Filed under: uncultured bacterium
Lineage: Bacteria
Description: partial 16S ribosomal RNA
Rfam family: Bacterial small subunit ribosomal RNA
Source: RNAcentral
UACGUAGGGUGCAAGCGUUAUCCGGAUUUAUUGGGCGUAAAGUGUUGCGUAGGCUGAUUUGCGCAUUUUGUUUAAAAGACUAAGGCUCAACCUUAGUUUUGGGCAAAAUAUGGCAAAUCUUGAUGGUUUAAGAGGGUACUGGAACUUAACAUGUAGCAGUGAAAUGCGUUGAUAUGUUAAGGAACACCAAAGGCGUAGGCAGGUACCUGGGAAACUCAUGACGCUGAGGCACGACAGCUAGGGGAGCGAA